Molecule: ribosomal RNA, 459 nt
Filed under: uncultured bacterium
Lineage: Bacteria
Description: partial 16S ribosomal RNA
Rfam family: Bacterial small subunit ribosomal RNA
Source: RNAcentral
CUACGGGCCGCACCAGUGAGGAAUAUUGGUCAAUGGGCGCAAGCCUGAACCAGCCACUCCGCGUGUAGGAUGACUGCCCUAUGGGUUGUAAACUACUUUUAUACAGGAAGAAACCUCCUUACGUGUAGGGAGCUGACUGUACUGUAAGAAUAAGCAUCGGCUAACUCCGUGCCAGCUGCCGCGGUAAUACGGAGGAUGCAAGCGUUAUCCGGAUUUAUUAGGUCUAAAGGGUUCGUAGGCGGAUGAUUAAGUCAGUGGUGAAAUCCUACAGCUUAACUGUAGAACUGCCAUUGAUACUGGUUGUCUUGAGUAUAGUUGAGGUAGGCGGAAUGUGUAGUGUAGCGGUGAAAUGCUUAGAUAUUACACAGAACACCGAUUGCGAAGGCAGCUUACUAAGCUAUUACUGACGCUAAGGAACGAAAGCGUGGGGAGCGAACAGGAUUAGAUACCCCGGUAGUC